AUUGAACGCUGGCGGAAUGCUUUACACAUGCAAGUCGAACGGCAGCACGGGUGCUUGCACCUGGUGGCGAGUGGCGAACGGGUGAGUAACAUAUCGGAACGUGCCCAGUAAUGGGGGAUAACUAACCGAAAGGUUAGCUAAUACCGCAUACGCCCUGACGGGGAAAGCGGGGGAUCGAAAGACCUCGCGUUAUUGGAGCGGCCGAUAUCUGAUUGGCUAGAUGGUAGGGUAAAGGCCUACCAAGGCGACGAUCAGUAGCUGGUCUGAGAGGAUGAUCAGCCACACUGGGACUGAGACACGGCCCAGACUCCUACGGGAGGCAGCAGUGGGGAAUUUUGGACAAUGGGCGAAAGCCUGAUCCAGCCAUUCCGCGUGAGUGAAGAAGGCCUUCGGGUUGUAAAGCUCUUUCGGCAGGAACGAAACGGUGCUCCCUAAUACGGGGCGCUAAUGACGGUACCUGAAGAAGAAGAAGCACCGGCUAACUACGUGCCAGCCGCCGCGGUAA
Molecule: ribosomal RNA, 505 nt
Filed under: uncultured bacterium
Lineage: Bacteria
Description: partial 16S ribosomal RNA
Rfam family: Bacterial small subunit ribosomal RNA
Source: RNAcentral